Molecule: ribosomal RNA, 519 nt
Filed under: uncultured bacterium
Lineage: Bacteria
Description: bacterial SSU rRNA
Rfam family: Bacterial small subunit ribosomal RNA
Source: RNAcentral
GACGAACGCUGGCGGCGUGGAUUAGGCAUGCAAGUCGGACGGUAGGGCUUUAUCGUAAGAUAGAGUUUGAGAGUGGCGAACGGGUGAGUAACACGUAGGAAUCUACCCUUAAGACGGGGACAACCCAGGGAAACUUGGGCUAAUACCGGAUGAGAGUGCGAGAGAUUGCAUUUAAAAGGAUGGCGAAAGUUGUCGCUUAGGGAUGAGCCUGCGGUCUAUUAGUUAGUUGGUGAGGUAAGAGCUCACCAAGGCGAUGAUAGGUAGCCGGCCUGAGAGGGUGAACGGCCACAAGGGGACUGAGAUACGGCCCUUACUCUUACGGGAGGCAGCAGUGGGGAAUAUUGGGCAAUGGGCGGAAGCCUGACCCAGCCAUGCCGCGUGAAGGAAGACGGCCUUAUGGGUUGUAAACUUCUUUACUAUGCGACUAACUAGAUUUACGAGAUAAUUCUAUAGAAUGUAGCAUAGACAAAAAGCAACCGGCUAACUCCGUGCCAGCAGCCGCGGUAAAGCUACGUAGAC